AUAUUGCGCAAUGGACGAAAGUCUGACGCAGCAACGCCGCGUGAGUGAGGAAGGCCUUCGGGUUGUAAAGCUCUGUCAGAUGGGAAGAAAACUACUGGUCUAAUAGGCCAUGUACUUGACGGUACCAUCAAAGGAAGCACCGGCUAACUUCGUGCCAGCAGCCGCGGUAAUACGAAGGGUGCAAGCGUUACUCGGAUUUACUGGGCGUAAAGCGCGCGCAGGCGGACAAUUAAGCCAGAUGUGAAAUCCCAGGGCUCAACCCUGGAACUGCGUCUGGAACUGAUUGUCUAGAAUAUUGGAGAGGGAAUGGGAAUUUCUCAUGUAGGGGUAAAAUCCGUAGAGAUGAGAAGGAACACCAGAGGCGAAGGCGCAUUCCUGGCCAAUUAUUGACGCUGAGGCGCGAAAGCGUGGGGAUCAAACAGG
This 423-nucleotide ribosomal RNA is filed under the name uncultured bacterium. RNAcentral describes it as "bacterial SSU rRNA". It matches the Rfam family "Bacterial small subunit ribosomal RNA", at positions 361 to 776 of the family's 1533-position model. The record is from RNAcentral.